Molecule: long non-coding RNA, 1229 nt
Filed under: Equus caballus (horse)
Lineage: Eukaryota; Metazoa; Chordata; Mammalia; Perissodactyla; Equidae
Description: lncRNA (ENSECAG00000050667.1)
Source: RNAcentral
CUCAAAUGAUGUCACUGAUCCUGCACUCCAGGAUGGAUUAACAAAGACAAGAAUAAUGAAAUGAUGGAGGGGAGCCUCAACACUCAACGUUCCGUCAGUGACAUAUUCUCCCUCCUCCAUGCUCAGCUCCACUUCCCCACUUGGGGGACUUCAUCUUGUGCUGCCUCUAUCAUCAUUUGAUUCUGAGUUCAAAACGCCACUUUCAAGGCAUUAUGCCCGGUUCAAAGAGUGUAUUUUGGUUCCAAAACUGAAGGGCAAAUAUUUUUAGAUUAGCAGUUCAGCAAAGAUGACAUCCAUGGCUCUGAAACGAGGAGCACGUUAGUCACCCUCGGACAACAGGAGAACCCAUUCCAGUCAAUAAACCUAAAGCAGCCGGGAGCCAGACUCCCUCCCCUCUGAGCCCUCAACUCAUACCCCUGCCCCUGGCAGUUCAGACACAAGCUCGGCACAAUCAGACGGCCUUGCUGAGGCGUCACCGGCUGCAGGCAAGUGCACGUGUGCCCAGUGUACUGUGAUGAGCUUUGACAUCUGUGCACGCCUGUGAAGCCGUCACGCCAGUCGACACGACACAUCCCACCACUGACACGACACAUCCCACCCUCUGUUAGUCGGCAUCUUCUAGAGCUGUUAAGAGGGAAUCUGCCAUGAUCUUUCACCCACCUUGCCCUCAGGCUCUGCUCCCAGGCCCUCCUCCCAUCACACUCCUCGAGGCCUCACACUGCUUUUAUUGCCCCCUCCACUGCUGGCCCGGCUCUUCCAUCACACACGAAUUACCAUGGUCUGCGUCGCAACAGACGACAGACGCCACCGACUAUCACAGCCUACAGCCUACAGACGUCGGACGUCACCGACUGCCGAGAUAAGCUUUUAGGGGUCUCCCUGCCUGGAGGGGGUCCUUGCUCCAACUCAUCCAUGUCACCAAUCGUUUCUGCUCUCAAGAUACAGUGACAACCGAGUCGUUCUGCAGACUGAAAGGCAGCCCUGUCUCUGCUGUGGGACCUCGGCAGUCCCAGCAUCUUCCGUGAGUCACUGCCUCCCCUGGGGCCUCUGGAGCAGGUCUCUGCUGUACUGUUGUUCACUUGUCAGGAGCUGUCUCAUCUCCACUACGAGGCUGUCACCUCCUGCCUCACCUGAUGCUGUGCCCUGCUGGAGGGGGACCCCAAUAAAAGCUAGCGAAUGAACAGAGAGGAGCAUACACAACUUCAGCAAGGUUCAGAAGAGACUCCGAG